GCAGCCUGAUGCAGCCAUGCCGCGUGUGUGAAGAAGGCCUUCGGGUUGUAAAGCACUUUCAGUCAGGAGGAAAGGUUAACGGUUAAUACCCGUUAGCUGUGACGUUACUGACAGAAGAAGCACCGGCUAACUCCGUGCCAGCAGCCGCGGUAAUACGGAGGGUGCGAGCGUUAAUCGGAAUUACUGGGCGUAAAGCGUACGCAGGCGGUUUGUUAAGCGAGAUGUGAAAGCCCCGGGCUCAACCUGGGAACUGCAUUUCGAACUGGCAAACUAGAGUGUGAUAGAGGGUGGUAGAAUUUCAGGUGUAGCGGUGAAAUGCGUAGAGAUCUGAAGGAAUACCGAUGGCGAAGGCAGCCACCUGGGUCAACACUGACGCUCAUGUACGAAAGCGUGGGGAGCAAACGGGAUUAGAUACCCCGGUAGUCCACGCCGUAAACGAUGUCUACUAGAAGCUCGGAGCCUCGGUUCUGUUUUUCAAAGCUAACGCAUUAAGUAGACCGCCUGGGGAGUACGGCCGCAAGGUUAAAACUCAAAUGAAUUGACGGGGGCCCGCACAAGCGGUGGAGCAUGUGGUUUAAUUCGAUGCAACGCGAAGAACCUUACCUACACUUGACAUACAGAGAACUUACCAGAGAUGGUUUGGUGCCUUCGGGAACUCUGAUACAGGUGCUGCAUGGCUGUCGUCAGCUCGUGUUGUGAGAUGUUGGGUUAAGUCCCGCAACGAGCGCAACCCCUAUCCUUAGUUGCUAGCAGGUAAUGCUGAGAACUCUAAGGAGACUGCCGGUGAUAAACCGGAGGAAAGGUGGGGACGACGUCAAGUCAUCAUGGCCCUUACGUGUAGGGCUACACACGUGCUACAAUGGCGCAUACAGAGUGCUGCGAA
RNAcentral lists this ribosomal RNA (883 nucleotides) under Pseudoalteromonas arctica. Its description in RNAcentral is "bacterial SSU rRNA". It matches the Rfam family "Bacterial small subunit ribosomal RNA", at positions 378 to 1253 of the family's 1533-position model. The record is from RNAcentral. Lineage: Bacteria; Pseudomonadati; Pseudomonadota; Gammaproteobacteria; Alteromonadales; Pseudoalteromonadaceae.